This is a long non-coding RNA of Magnolia sinica, 1293 nucleotides long. RefSeq lists it as uncharacterized. The record is from RefSeq and is a predicted model, not a curated record. The transcript has 6 exons. Lineage: Eukaryota; Viridiplantae; Streptophyta; Magnoliopsida; Magnoliales; Magnoliaceae.
UUUUGGUCUUAGCCUCAAGUGCAAUGCCUGGGUCAUCAUGUGGACAUUUUUCAUGUUUGUUCAUUUAUUUGUGUGCAAUUUGUUGUCCCGUUUCAUUUCACAGGUUUGGCACUCGUUGAUUGCUCUACCAGUUUGGAGACGAUAGGUGUGCUAAAGCUGGAGGUUGAUUUGGGUUGUUGUAUUGUGCUGGCAAAUAAGAAGCCACUUACAUCUGGAACUGAAGAUUAUGAGAAGCUAGUCUCAAACUUGCGUCGCGUUCGAUAUGAAUCAACUUUGAGCUAAAGUCAGUUCUUCAAAUCUUAUAUGAAAUGGGAUGUGCUCCAGCGAUAUUGAUACCUCCGUAAGCUAAUGAUGGCACCUGGUAGAUAUGGGGCCCACAUGUAUGCAGGCCAUCCAACUCAUUCAUCAGAAGGUCACCUCAUGCUACUAUAUUCUGGGUUUUGAUAGUCUUCUUUCAAAAGUUCACUCUAACACUAAAUUGCGCAGGUUAUCAUGGCUCGUGAGUGCUUUGAUGAUACUAAGGGAGUUGUGCUGGUUAAAAGUUUGGCUGCCAAGGAAUCAUCCGCUCUUGCCUUGGAUACUUAUUACAAGUAGUAUUAUCUUUGUUUGGCUGCUGCUGCUGCUUAUAUCAAAUGGUAUGCUAUUGAUAUAAUGCAAUCUGUGUGCCUUAAGGAAGUUGGUGCAAAUGCAAUAGACCCUUUGGCAGGGGAAACUACUUGUAUACAACUGAUUUUCGGGGGUUACCUUCGAUCUAAGGCCUUCUCCAGCCCUUCAGGCAUCUAAUUCAAGCCCAACAGCAGUAGCAGCAGCACCACCAAUACUUCCAGCACAGAAUUAACAGCUCAUGACAUGUACCAGACUGCCUUGGAAGUGGUGCUGAAGGAAGAGAUUUUCGUCCCUCUCAUACGGAAGAGAUUUUCGUCCCUCUCAUACGGACACAACGUCCACAUCACUGCAGUGGAUCAUGGUGAACCUGGUGAAGCAUCAGGAUGUGCAGACCAAGCUGGUGAAAGAGAUCGAUUGGGUUGUGGGGGAUGGACGAGAAGACAUUGAAGAGGAGGAUUUGCAGCGGAUGUCAUAUCCGAAGGCAGUGAUCAUUCUAGAAAAGAGCAAGGAUUUGUUGGAUUAUAGAAGCCUGGAAAUGAAAUAUUGUAUUGAAAUUGAAAAUUGGAAUUAAAAUUGAAAUGUGUACUAGAAAAGAAGGAAAAGAUUAUUAUGUGUGUGAAUCAUUCUAUUGUCUUUUUCUAUUUGUGUAAUUAUCUGGCAUGUAAUACAAGUAGAUUACAUACCCCA